UUAAAUACUGAGGUAAUUAGAAGGAUGUCAGCACAAACACCUCCCCAACAGUAAGCUGCCAGCAAACGAUACAAGGUUGGACUUCCUCCCCCAACCCCAAUUUUUUUCAGUACUCUGUUUUUUUUCUGCCAUUCUACUCUCAUUUUUAUUUUUAUUUUUUCCAUAUUUAUUAUUAUAUUUUUAUGGUAUAUUUCUAUUUUACCUUAUAUUUCAUUAAUUGACACAGUCUUUUUUUUUUUUUUUUAUAUAUUACUUAGUAGUGUGCACACUCAGUAUAGCAAUAAUUAUUAUUGUACAAGGUUUUUUUGUCAUUGUAUUUUAAAUAUAUUUUUAGACUUCAUAUAAGAUUCAGAAAAUGUUUAUAUGUUUAUCAACAUGUGAUUAGACUGUAUUUUUUGCGCUACCUUAAGCAUUUUUUUAAAAUUCUUUAUUUUUAUUGUGCAGGUAGGUACAAAACUGUGUCACAAUGCCACAACAGCGUAUAUUAGGAUGUGUAUACAGGUUAGGUAGUGGCAUGAGUUCCUUGCACAUUUUUAACAUAUGUAUUCAAGCUUAGCAUUACGAGUAGGUCUUCAGAAUGAAAAAUACAGCUUUUAAACAACAUGCUUGAGUUACAGGAAAACAACAUUGUUCAGGAUUAUUUCAGUUCAGGCUAUUAUGUAUAGCUACGUGUGUGGCUCUUCUGUGGUGUAAUCUGAGCUAUAACACCAUUAUCUGAGUGGUCUGCUGGUUUACCUUAACCAUUUUUAGUGUUACUUUGUCUUGUACUAGAAAGUGUAGGGAUACUUUCUUCUAAAGGAGCAGCAUUUUAAGGCACAUCUUUCACAUUGUUCACAGACACACCCUAUAUUAAGUGUAUACGUAUAUUUUUUUCCCACACAAUUAUAUUUCUUUGGAUCAUUCAUUACAACAUUGCGAGUAUACUUGCUUUGCGCAGUUUACACGUAUACCAGAGAAGUUCCCACUCUCUUGGUUCGUAUUAUACUUUCACACUCCUAUCUCUUUGUUUACCACUUUUGUAAUCUUCUCUAUCUCUAUUUAAUUUUUUUCUUUAGUAGUCACAAUCUUCUCUUGUAAUUUUUACAUUUAAGUUAUUUACUAUUUCUUCCAAUUAUUUCCUCGUUACAUUCCUCACUUAUUUUCAAAUGUUCUAUUUCUUGCAUCUCUCAUAGAGGUGGUCAUUAACCUACAAUAUGCCAUUAUAAAAACCAGCUGAGGUCAGAUAAGAUAGUAGUGGAUAAAAAUGUAAUAUUUACACACAUGCACUUAAAGCAAUCCCCACUGCCCUGAGGGUGAAAUGUAUACAGAAAAACACAAUACAAUCAGGUAAGUGGAAAAAGUGCAAAAAUGCAAAGUGCAGGCAAGACAAUAGCAAAAAGGGUCACUGCAGCCCAGCCCUCCAGAAGGGGGGAAAGCAAUUCAAAUAACACUACCCAGAGGGAAAUAAAUACACCAGAGCCUGCCAGUAACAUAGGCACAUCAGAACAUGAGUGAGAGAGUGUGGGGCAGGCAUAGCCUGUCAGGGAAUAGGGAAAAAGAGUAAUGAGGCAGGCGGACAGGCAGAGCCUGCCAGGAAAGGGACAAAUAAGCAGCAGACACAAUCCAGCAAACUGACACAACAAUACAAUAUAGACAGUGAAGAGAGCAGAAACUCUGAGCUGUCCUUGUCAUGGAGCAGCAAAGAAAGAGGAGGUGCUUGGGUUCACUGUGCCUUAUAUAUACAUUACUUGUUUCUGAUUGGUUCUUGUUUUUUCUUUGCUUCUAUGGAGUGAAGUAAAGAAAGAUAUGCAAAAUAUUAAGCCUCCUGUCAUGUUGUAAAAUUAUGGUUGAUCAGACAUAUAGCUCAAAUUCAAGGGUUUGUUUUGAUUUUGUUUUGAUCAGAACGUGUUCAAUUGCCUCUAGGGGUUAAUUCAAUAAAUUAAAUUUAAAUAUCUAGAAUACUGCAUAUAGUAUCAUUUUCAGAAUGUUCUCUUUUUUUUUUACAGCUUGAGACGGUCAUAGAUGGUGUUAUGGAAGUUACCAAUCAGAAGUUACGUGAUGUUCAAAGUAUGUAGAAAUACAUUUUAAAUUCUCUUUCACAAUACACGUUUAUUGUACUUUUUGACACAUUAAAAAAAAAAAAAAAAAGAUUAAAUUCCUCUGGAAACGGUUGAUCAGGCAUUUGUGCACUAAAGCUUCAUGAAAAUAUUAAAGGACCACUCUAGACACCCAGACCACUUCAGCUUAAUGAAGUGGUCUGGGUGCCAGGUCCAGCUAGGGUUAACCCAUUUUUUUAUAAACAUAGCAGUUUCAGAGAAACUGUUAUGUUUAUAAAUGGGUUAAUCCAGCCCUCAAAUCCUCUAGUGGCUGUCUCAUUGACAGCCGCUAGAGGCACUUGCGUGAUUCUCACUGUGAAAAUCACAGUGAGAGCACGCAAGCGUCCAUAGGAAAGCAUUAUGAAUGCUUUCCUAUGCGACCGGCUGAAUGCGCGCGCAGCUCUUGCCGCGCGUGCGCAUUCAGCCGACGGGGCAGAUCGGAGGAGGAGAGAAGGAGGAGAGCUCUCCGCCCAGCGCUGGAAAAAGGUAAGUUUAAACCCCUUUCCCCUUUCCAGAGCCGGGCGGGAGGGGGACCCUGAGGGUGGGGGCACCCUCAGUGCACUAUAGUGCCAGGAAAACGAGUAUGUUUUCCUGGCACUAUAGUGGUUUUUUAAUUACAGACGCAAAACAAUCCCGCUAAAUGUACAUUAGUGUAUUCGUGUAAUCCAUAUUUUACAUUUAUUACUUUAUCUAAUGAGUCUGCUGUCUGUCUGGUAUUUCACAGAGCCCACUUCGACUACUGAAGAUGCAGUUGUUCAAGUUGUAGCAACAGACGUUAAAUUAGUUGAAGGAGUUUUGCAAAUUACAUCAAAUGUAAGUCUAUUUGUUUAGUUGUGAUACUUUUAAAAAAUCCAUACAAAGAAUACAAAUUGCAAUGAUACACUGUGUGUGAAUUCGAAUUCUAAGUUAUGACUUACUAAGUAUAUUUUUUUCUUAAGCAAAGAUUUCAGAUCAAUUCAGUAUUAAAUGAAACUUCACAUAUAAAGUGAUCCCAUCAUGAAAGGAAAUGAUCCAAUAUUUACAAUAAAUGUAUCCCUCAAGGGCGGGUGUCGGACACCAGGUGUGGACUACAUCUACCCUGAUGUUUUUACAGCAUUAUAACUGUUAGAGUAUUAUGGGAGAUGUAGUCCACAACAUCUGGAGUGCCGAAGGUUGCUUACCCCUGCUUCUAGGGAACACCAAAUAACACAUAGAGUAAGUAUUGAACAAAGGUAUUCUAAGACUGAUAGAACCUGGGAUUAUCUACCCCCAGCAGCUUAGUUACACACAAUCAGCUGAAACAGAACUAUAAAAAAGGGAUAUAUAGGUAAUAAGUCAAUAUUAAAGUGGAGCGCUUUUAAAGGAAAAAAUUAUAAACAUACAUAAAUAGCUUACCCCUCAAUAAUACACCAAACAAAAUAUAUGAAAUAAAAGACCAUAAACACUAUAUAGUGCAGAUAGUACAAAGUUCUUAUUAUAUAAUAAAUGGUGGUUUUAACAACUCACAUGGACACGGACAUGUACAUAACUAGCUCAGUAGACGGCCCUUUUAUGCUCUUAAGGGGGGGUAGGUAGGGUAUUUCUAUUGGGGUGAGUAACUAGGGGCUUGGGGAACCCUUGUCACUUUCUUAUUUGUGGUCCCCACACGCCGCUAAUGGGUGGGUACCUUGGGGGUACAUUAGGUCCCCCGCAUUAUUUAUUUGCUUAGGGUCCCCACCCGCCGCUCAUGGCUGGGGACCAGGGGGGACAUUAGGUUCCCCCAUUUAUAUUAACCCCUUAAGGACGGCGGCCGUGCUAUGCCAUCCUUGUGGACCCGGCUCUAAACGCCGGGGGGCGGCAUAGCACGUCCCUGCCGUCCUUUCUACUUUCGCCAGCGAUCGCGAUGCAGGGACUCACCUGGCAGCCCAGGGAGUCCCCCUCCAUCCGUUCCAGCCCCCCUGGCCCAUGUGAUCGUGAGGUCCUUGCGUAGAGUUCGCGAUCAUAUGGACGGCACAGCCGUCCCAAAAAAAUGAUCGAAGUAUGUGUGUGUGUAUAUAUAUUACACACACACACAUAAAUAGUCUAAGUGUAUUUUAAUCAUGGGGGUAAUUCUCAUUCCUGUGCUACCAUACGGUCUCAAAGGCAACGUAACCAAUCUGGCGAAUUUCAAUGUGAAAAAAAUGAAAAGGGUAACAUGCUAUAUUUGACCUUGUAACUUCCCAAAACACCAGUUUCCAGUUUCCGGCCAGACUGAAAGGAAGUGUGCACACUCCCUACUGUAUGAGCAACAGUUUAUAGUCUGACUCGGUUAUUCAGUGGAAUCGCCUCUAGUGGCUGUCAGGAGGAUAGAAUGUCAGGAAGACAGUCACUAGAGGCAUGUUAAACCCUGCAAUCAUAACAUCACCAUAUCUACUGAAAAGCAAUGUUUUACACUACAGGGUUAAAACUAAAGAGCCACUACACUCAGUCCACUUGAUUGAGAUGGAGUGAUCUGGGUGCCUUCAGUGUCCUUUUAAAUUGUAAAUUUACUUUGAAUUCUCACUUUAGUAAAUAACCCUUAGAUUCUUACAUCUCAACAUUCCUCCAUACUGUAUUCCAUUCCGCAAAUUGACUUUUAUACCACCCCACAUACUGGCUCCGUCAUACCGCCCCACAUCCUGACUUUGUCAUACCACCCCACAUACUGGCUGACUCAGUUCAACCACCCCACAUAUUUGCUCUGUCAAACAACCCCACAUACUGGCUUUGUCAUACUACCCCACAUACUUACUACGUCAUACCACUCCACAUACUUGCUCCGUCAUACCACCCCACAUUCUGACUCCAUCAUACCACCCCACAUACUGGCUCCAUUACACCACCCCACAUACUGGCACUGUCAUACCACCCCACAUUCUGACUCCGCCAUACCACCCCACAUCCUGACUCUGUCAUACCACCCCACAUAUUGGCUCCAUUACACCACCCACAUACUAGUUCGGUCAUACUGCCCCACAUACUGGCUCGGUCAUACCGCCCCACAUACUGGCUCGGUCAUACCGCCCCACAUACUGUCUUCAUUACACCACAUUACACCACCCCACAUACUGGCUCUGUCAUACCACCCCACAUACUGGCUUCAUUACACCACCCCACAUACUGACUCGAUGUCACUGCAGCUAUAUGAUCCACAAUCCUUUUUUCUUCUGCUUUUAUUCUGAAAAUCAUACAUUUAUGGGUAAAAUCUUAACAAUCAAGUGUGGUAAGGUGGACAUUUCUGUAAUUUUUUUUAGUCAUUCUUAAUAGAAAAUGUAUGUUUUUUGUACUCCUUAGAUCAUUGAUAAAGUUACGAAAACAGCACUGGAAUGUUUAAUUAAUCCAGCGAUUGUAUCACCAUUAAAUUAUCUAAUUUCGAUCAAUAUUCAAGAAAAGUUACUU
Non-coding RNA from Pelobates cultripes (western spadefoot toad), 5450 nucleotides. The record is from the annotation of a GenBank genome assembly. NCBI's taxonomy places the organism in Eukaryota, Metazoa, Chordata, Amphibia, Anura, Pelobatidae.